Molecule: unclassified non-coding RNA, 200 nt
Filed under: soil metagenome
Description: partial contains internal transcribed spacer 2 and large subunit ribosomal RNA
Source: RNAcentral
GGGGCGUGCUGCCGCGAGGCUGCUCCCCUCAAAUGCGUCGGUUGGGCCUGUGGGUCGAACUCGAAAGGGCGUUGUACCAUCCUCGCUCCCUCGAGAUGCCUCCCCUCCCGUGCCCCUCCACGACCUGCCUCUGAAGGGUGGCGGUCAAAACCUUUUUGAAAUCUGACCUCAAAUCAGGUAGGACUACCCGCUGAACUUAA